UCUUCCCCUGCUUGUCACCUGGUUGGGAACCUUUAGAGGCAGCUCAUCUUUGCAUCUCCCCAUCACAGGGAGCAGUGGUUUUGGUACCCACAGGACUUAGCCUUUGGUUUGCAUCUGUCCUUCAGAGGAGGAGGAUACAGAGGCUGGUUUUGAGAUUAUUUGGAGCUGGUGAUCAGUGAGGUCUCUUUAAGCUGAUUGAGCCAACUGUGCUGACUUAGUCAGUUAACCUAGAUAAAUACCACUCUGAGUUUUCUUUUUUCAUUUAAGAAAAAUAGUGUCAGAGUACAGGAUGGACUCCCCCAGUGGGAGAGCUGACACCAUGUAAAUGAUUCAUUAGCAGAUGCUUUAGCUGAACCUCAGCUGUUUUCACCAGUGACGUCGAUGUGACGGAGAUAUUUGUUCAGGUGAUGGGACUUGAGUGGGCCUUGGGCCAGACCUCCACCCCCAGGGACCACCCUUCUAGCACUGAAAGGCAAUAGUCUUCACACUGGCUGAAUCCUGUAUUUUCUCAAUCCUCCAAAUCCGACCAACUUCUCUAAAUUGUACUGCAAGGUUUUGGCAGCCAGAGCUCCCACUCCUUGCCACCAUCCCACCGCCACCACUGGAGGUGCUGAAGGCCAAGUACAAGCCAUCCGGGUGGAAACCUGUAUUUGAAGGUCUGCACCGCGGGCCACUGUAGGCAGAAAAUCAAGUUGGGAGUCUGAGGAAAGCUACUCUAAUCAUAGAAAAAUUCUUGUAUUAUUUGUGUUUCUCAAAUCUCACUACUCAGAGUGGGAGCCGCGGACCAGCAGCAGUAGCAGCAAUGCCUGGGAGCUUGCUAGAAACACAGAAUGUCACUCCCCACCCCAGACUAAUGAGAAUCUGCGUCUUGACAAGAUCCCUGGCUGAUGCCUGUACAGCUUUACAGUUUGAAGAGCACUGGUCUAAAGGCAACAAAUCAUGAAGAUUUUAUUUCAAAAAUCCAAGGGCCCUUGGGACCCCAGAGAAUGCCACUUCACUUGAAUAAAACCAGACCUGGGUGCCCUCUCUACCACGGGGGAAUUGCCACUUUGACCCUCCUGAACACUCUACUUAAGACUCAGGUGUGUCCCUCUUGUCUCAUCCUUCAGUGAGCCCCCACGACUGGAAGCGCCCGUGGGCAAGGACACAGGUCACGGGGCAACCUCUGCCCUCAUGUGUGCCUCUCAUCUCUCGCUCAUGCCUUCAGCACAGAACUGAGCAUUUGCUGUCCAUCAGGCCCUGGGGUGGCUCUCUGGCUACAGAGAGAAAGGAAGAUUCCUGCCCCGGAGGGGCUCCCACUCUAUGGGCUGAUGCUGGAGGGAGAGAGAUGACAGUAGCUGGUGAGUGGGAGAAGUCUUUAGACUCUCAGGCCCCACGUGCCAUCACUGACAGGCUGCUCAUGACAGCCAACAUCAGAAAGCCAAAUGUCCUGGGAGUAGGAAUCUCUGUCUUCCCGGGGAAGGCUCCAUCCAUGCAGUAUCUGUCACGUGCAAAGAGACAGCUUCCAAGACACAGCGUGUGCACGUGGUAUUGAACAUUAAAGAGAACGUAGGCUGCCGAGUGUGCUGUGUGCCAUCUUGAUGUGUUAUUCUCCUCCAAAAGAGUUUGUCUUUUUUUUUUUUUUUCAUUUAUUUUCUCAGAAAGCGAAACUCGCAUCCAGGAAAACGACAGCAUCAGGAGAGUGACUCAGUGUUCUCUCAUGUUGCUCAGUCCUCGCACUUUCUUCAAGCAGCCUGGUGGGGAGAAAAUAUUGACAAGUUUCUGUCUCACUGCUUGGUGCCUACAAUAGCACUGAGCAGGCCAUAGCAGAUUUAAAAUUUCUAUCCUUCCAUCCCAGACUCAAACUAAUGUCACUGCUAACUAGGGGACAUUAAAGGAGCCCAAACCAGCAGGUAAAUUGUCAUCAGUGAUCCUUGAGGCUGGCCCUGGUCUGACCUGGUGCCCUGCAUACCAUGAUUGCCCUGGUGAUGGGCUCAGCCCUGCCACCUUCACCACUCCGUCUUAAUGAUGGACAGUACCACAGGCAGCUCCAAACAGCCUCAGCUGCUGCAUCCCCAACCCUCAGCUCCAGCCUGCAUGUAGAACUGCCCUGGCUUCCCCAUUCCUGCUCCCUUGGACCUUUCACUGGUAAAACAGGAGACUGGAGAAAGACCUGGGGAGGGGAAUGGGGAAAAAAGCCUCACUCCAAGUCAGUAUGACUUCCUUAAGAUGACGAUGAUCGCAUUGUAAACCAGCUCAUCAACAUCUAACAGGGAUGGGAUGGUGGAAGGAGAUUUGGGGGAGGAAGAUUCAGCUGAGAUGAGAAUAAAUCUGGAAACAUCAAGAAUAGGGAGCUGGGAUCAGGUAAUUACGUGGUCUGCUAGGAACCUUAAACAUAAUUUUGAAAAGUUCAGUUGGAGUUCUAGUCUAAGCCUUUUAAAAUAAGUUUACUAUUUUUGAAAAUCACUCAAGCAAAAGGUGUUCCUUGUUUUAAAAUAAAAUAAAAAUUUAAGUGAUUAAACAUUA
RNAcentral lists this long non-coding RNA (2505 nucleotides) under Homo sapiens (human). RNAcentral describes it as "HSALNT0353348". Lineage: Eukaryota; Metazoa; Chordata; Mammalia; Primates; Hominidae. The record is from RNAcentral.